This 253-nucleotide ribosomal RNA is filed under the name uncultured bacterium. RNAcentral describes it as "partial 16S ribosomal RNA". It matches the Rfam family "Bacterial small subunit ribosomal RNA", at positions 524 to 776 of the family's 1533-position model. The record is from RNAcentral.
UACGUAGGGGGCAAGCGUUGUCCGGAUUUAUUGGGCGUAAAGAGCGUGUAGGCGGCCAGACAGGUCCGUUGUGAAAACUAGAGGCUUAACCUCUAGACGUCGAUGGAAACCGUCUGGCUAGAGUCCGGAAGAGGAGAGUGGAAUUCCUGGUGUAGCGGUGAAAUGCGCAGAUAUCAGGAAGAACACCCGUGGCGAAAGCGGCUCUCUGGAACGGUACUGACGCUGAGACGCGAAAGCGUGGGGAGCGAACAGG